GGAUGUGAGGGCGAUCUGGCUGCGACAUCUGUCACCCCAUUGAUCGCCAGGGUUGAUUCGGCUGAUCUGGCUGGCUAGGCGGGUGUCCCCUUCCUCCCUCACCGCUCCAUGUGCGUCCCUCCCGAAGCUGCGCGCUCGGUCGAAGAGGACGACCAUCCCCGAUAGAGGAGGACCGUUCUUCGGUCAAGGGUAUACGAGUAGCUGCGCUCCCCUGCUAGAACCUCCAAACAAGCUCUCAAAUUUGGGGAGCUCAAUGGAACCUCCACUUCAGAUCCCCUGUAGGU
This 284-nucleotide small nuclear RNA is filed under the name Castor canadensis (American beaver). RNAcentral's name for it is "7SK RNA (ENSCCNG00000020020.1)". It matches the Rfam family "7SK RNA", at positions 1 to 254 of the family's 331-position model. From Rfam's summary of the family: 7SK was discovered as an abundant small nuclear RNA in the mid-70s but a possible function has only recently been suggested. Two independent studies have found that 7SK RNA binds the CDK9/cyclin T complex (known as elongation factor P-TEFb). The record is from Rfam by way of RNAcentral. Lineage: Eukaryota; Metazoa; Chordata; Mammalia; Rodentia; Castoridae.